GACGAACGCUGGCGGCGUGCUUAACACAUGCAAGUCGAACGCUGAAGCUCAGCUUUUGUUGGGUGGAUGAGUGGCGAACGGGUGAGUAACACGUGAGUAACCUGCCUCCUUCUUUGGGAUAACGCCCGGAAACGGGUGCUAAUACUGGAUAUUCACUGGUCUUCGCAUGGGGGUUGGUGGAAAGGGUUUUUCUGGUGGGGGAUGGGCUCGCGGCCUAUCAGCUUGUUGGUGGGGUGAUGGCCUACCAAGGCUUUGACGGGUAGCCGGCCUGAGAGGGUGACCGGUCACAUUGGGACUGAGAUACGGCCCAGACUCCGACGGGAGGCAGCAGUGGGGAAUAUGGCACAAUGGGCGCAAGCCUGAUGCAGCGACGCCGCGUGAGGGAUGGAGGCCGUCGGGUUGUGAACCUCUUUCGCUCAUGGUCAAGCCGCAACAAUGGUUGUGGUGAGGGUAGUGGGUAAAGAAGCGCCGGCUAACUACGUG
Molecule: ribosomal RNA, 483 nt
Filed under: uncultured bacterium
Lineage: Bacteria
Description: partial 16S ribosomal RNA
Rfam family: Bacterial small subunit ribosomal RNA
Source: RNAcentral